CAGAUGCUGAUUUAGUGCAAGAUAAAUCUGAUAUUGACCUUCUGAACAAACAGCACACCACUGAUGCAAUUGAGUCAAAUGAGCCUCCUCCAAAUGAUAUGUAUUAUGAGAUGGACCGCGUACCAGAUGAUUCUGAUCAAGAGGAUUUAUAUGAUGAUCCUGAUGAUUUCUGAUUUACUGUACUGUGAUAGAAAUAUUUAUUUUUGACAAUGAAUGACCUUUUCCAUGGUUACCGUCCUUGUACAGCAAUAAUGAAAUUUGUAUGGCUUCAUGUUUCUCAUAAUAACUGACAUUUGCCAUGUGCCAUUUCUAAUUCUUUAUAUGCAGGGCACGUGACAGAGAUAUCAGGGAGGCAAUCCGAGCUUCUCACAAGAGGCGAGGUGUUGCAGAGCAGGUACCUAGUGAUGAAGAUGGAAAUGACUCCACGCAGAUAGGCUCCAAUGCCCAGAACACUGCUGGACACAAUAGGACACCCCGUGGUUCAAACACGAUCCCGCCAGCACCAACGACACAUGCUGCCAAGAUUGUUCUCAUACCUUCUGGUGAUAGAAAUUGGCGUAUGCAAAAUUUCAACAAGAAAGAUCGUGUUCCAAACACUAUAAUAGGUGCCUUGCUGAAGCAUCACUACCCACAGAUUGUGUAUGACACCACUGAAAGACCACCUAAGUAUGUUGCUGCCACAAAAUGGCGGCACUGGUGUAUGAAAGGACCACAAGAUAACACCUGUGCUGAUAGGGUUAGGUCUGAUUUCCUGGCACGAUACAGAUGGCCGGAUGACGCUAGUCCUGAACAGAAGGAAAAAUUCAUGAAGACCCUCGAUGCUUGUUGUGCAAAGUUGACUACCCAAGAAAUAUAUGAUUUGAGGAUUUAUGCA
Molecule: long non-coding RNA, 874 nt
Organism: Panicum virgatum (switchgrass)
Lineage: Eukaryota; Viridiplantae; Streptophyta; Magnoliopsida; Poales; Poaceae
Exons: 3
Source: RefSeq, a predicted model, not a curated record